AGAGAACUAUUAGUACAGAAUGAUUGAAGAUGACUCUCAAGAAUGAAUUGACAUGUUGGAUGGAUCAACACAAGACUGAAGUUUCAAACCAUCUCUUAUGCUGGGCAUUCUUAACUGACUACAAGUUUAUAACUUUCUGAUAAAGAAAUGGAUAUGAGAAUGCAAAUGAAACUACAGGUGUGUUAUAAAAUUCUAUACUACUGUGGUAAGAAAAAGGACUGAUUCAUGGGUAA
Tympanuchus pallidicinctus (lesser prairie-chicken) is the source of this 233-nucleotide long non-coding RNA. RefSeq lists it as uncharacterized. The record is from RefSeq and is a predicted model, not a curated record. The transcript is spliced from 3 exons. NCBI's taxonomy places the organism in Eukaryota, Metazoa, Chordata, Aves, Galliformes, Phasianidae.